UUGGUCUGGCAACAUUCAACGUAAACAAGCAGGCAACUCUUAUGUACUGGUAACUUCCAAAAUAAAGGAACCUCAAGUGUUUUAUAGGGCCACAGAUUCUACAAGAGUGGACCUGGUGACAGACACGCACACCCGCUGAGACCCCUCUUUCAAAAUCACUGGGUAUUUAAAUUGCCUAAUUAACUCAAACCUGAGGCGUAUACUACGUGCCUGGUUUGAGGAAACUUUCAACUCGGGAUAACCAGAAGUGGCUCAUCUUUUAGCCAGGUACUUUAUGCUGCAAUGAAUGACUCAAUUAACUCCACUAAUACUUAAGUGUCUGAGCCUCAAGUUUAGGACCAAUGAAAUAGAUUCUCUCCCUCUCAAACAUUGCAUCAUCACCUUUAUAUUUCAUGAAUGCCAGGCUUCCCCAAAUAUUUCCCAAAAAUAUAAAAUCAUUUAUUUCAUGUGUUUUUAUAAUUUGAUGCAAGCAUUUCGCCUCCCUUGAUAAAUGUUUGUUAUAAAAGGAUUAGCGCAACUGUGGGUUGUCUUGGUGCAGCAAAACAGGAUGCACCUGAGCUCAAUUUUGAGUCUCACAGCAAAGGAUCUGAAUACUUAUGUAAUUAAUACAUUAUGGGGUAUUGGGUGUAGAUUUGAAUAAGCCUGUAACGAGAUGUGGAUAAAGUGAAGGGGUCUUAAUUAUUUCCGAAUGCACUGUAUCACGGUGGCGUAUUGAAAAAAAAAAAAGUAUUUACCUAGGCAAGUCAGUUAAGAACAAAUUCUUAUUUUCAAUGACGGCCUAGGAACAGUGCCUGUUCAGGGGCAGAACGACAGAUUUGUACCUUGUCUGCUCGGGGGUUUGAACUUGCAACCUUCCAGUUACUAGUCCAACGCUCUAAUCACUAGGUUAAAAGCAAACACAAUUACCACAACAGGUUGUAAUAUGGCUUUUUCCCCCCCUGGCUUGGCUUCCUCAGUGAAUUUACCCACGCACGCUACUGCACGGCUAACACGGAACCCAAACCGGAUGCGCGCCUGCGCCAUCGUGCAUAACUGUAUUUUGUCCCCCCACACCAAACGCGAUCACGACACACAGGUUAAAAUAUCAAAACACUCAACCAAUUACAUAAAAUUUGGGGACAGGUCGAAAGCAUUAAACAUUUAUGGCAAUUUAGCUUGCUAAUUUGUCCUGGGCUAUAAACAUUGAGUUGUGCAUUUCAGGUAAAAUAACAAGGGCCACUCCUCUGACAAUUAAUCCACAGAAAACGGUCAACUGAAUCGUUUCUAGUCAUCUCUCCUCCUAGGCUUUUUUUGACUUUAUAUUGCGAUUGGCAACGUUCAUAAAUUAGAUGCAUUAACGCCACUGACCUCGUUCGUCAAUCAGUCACGUGGGUAUAACCAAUGAGAUGGUACUGGGUACCUGCUUCUAUAAACCAAUUAGGAGAUGGGAGAGGCAGGACUUGCAGCGCUAUCUGCGUCACAAAUAGAACUGACUUCUAUUUUAGCCCAUGGCAACGCAGAUGCUCGUGAGCAGUGUGGGUGCAAUAAUUGAGUAAUAUAAAUUUCUACAUUUAUUUUGCAACGCAAGCAUUGUAGUCAGCCUGUGAGCUGGAAUGUGAAGCAAACUGAAGCUAGCUGCCCCCCUUUCAAUAUACGUUGAAUCGCUCAGUUACUUAA
This is a long non-coding RNA of Oncorhynchus tshawytscha (Chinook salmon), 1656 nucleotides long. NCBI's taxonomy places the organism in Eukaryota, Metazoa, Chordata, Actinopteri, Salmoniformes, Salmonidae. The record is from Ensembl.